This 884-nucleotide long non-coding RNA is filed under the name Sinocyclocheilus anshuiensis. Its description in RNAcentral is "lncRNA (ENSSANG00000028779.1)". The record is from RNAcentral. Lineage: Eukaryota; Metazoa; Chordata; Actinopteri; Cypriniformes; Cyprinidae.
AAGAUGACGCAAUCUCACUAAUUCGAGCCAGGCUUGCAGUCAACAUAAUUGCGCGAACACGCCUUUCUUAAGCAGCACUAGAGGCCGAACAUGGAUCUAAUCGAUCAGUAAAGAGAGAGCAGCUCCUGCUCUUAGAAUCGUACGAAGAACUGAAAGAUUGAAUUAACGUUACACUGCUGCAGUAAAUAAAAUAAGAGAGAAAGGCUGGCAAAUAAUUGCUGAUCGACUGAAUGCAUGUGGAUCCAGCCACGCCCCCUGGGUCUUGUGUUCUGCAGGGAGGGGCUUCUGGAUGUAGCUGUAACUGGGGGCGGGCCUCCACCAACACCUUAACUCCUGCAGAGGAGCUGGCCUUGGACCUGAACAACCGGAGGCCAGUCAUUGAGGGAACAGCUUCUGAAACCAUACCACCUAAUAGAAGGAGUGACUUCAUAAAAGUGAUGGCAAAUUCUGUGUGCUUGUUGGAGCCACCAGAUGUCCUGUUGAACCCUGAGGAAGACCCAUCUACAACUGAGGAGGAUGAGGAGAGCGUGUCAGCCUGAGGACGCUGACAUCCUUCCAGAAACCAGUCAGACUGGAACUGGAAGUGCUACCUCCUUAAAGAAAUGGAUGUUCUGGAUGUAGACAUUCAAUAUAAGAAGUUGAAGAUGAGAAAGCUGGAGCUGGAAAUCCAAAAACUGGAGAACUGUUGUGAUGAAACACUGACACUUGACAUUUUGGUCACCAUUUAAUCGUAUGUGUUUUGUUUUUCUUCUCCAGCAGCCAGCUUUAAGUUGAAAUUAAAAAAAAAUAAUAAUAAAUGAAAUACAAAUUAUGUGACUUGUGUGUGUUGUGUAAUGAAAUUGAGGGGCAAGUAGAGGGCUACAAACAUAAAAUGAAAGCCUUCA